AUUGAACGCUGGCGGCAGGCCUAACACAUGCAAGUCGAGCGGUAGAGAGGUGCUUGCACCUCUUGAGAGCGGCGGACGGGUGAGUAAUGCCUAGGAAUCUGCCUGGUAGUGGGGGAUAACGCUCGGAAACGGACGCUAAUACCGCAUACGUCCUACGGGAGAAAGCAGGGGACCUUCGGGCCUUGCGCUAUCAGAUGAGCCUAGGUCGGAUUAGCUAGUUGGUGAGGUAAUGGCUCACCAAGGCGACGAUCCGUAACUGGUCUGAGAGGAUGAUCAGUCACACUGGAACUGAGACACGGUCCAGACUCCUACGGGAGGCAGCAGUGGGGAAUAUUGGACAAUGGGCGAAAGCCUGAUCCAGCCAUGCCGCGUGUGUGAAGAAGGUCUUCGGAUUGUAAAGCACUUGAAGUUGGGAGGAAGGGUCGUUACCUAAUACGUGACGAUUUUGACGUUACCGACAGAAUAAGCACCGGCUAACUCUGUGCCAGCAGCCGCAGUAA
This 500-nucleotide ribosomal RNA is filed under the name uncultured bacterium. Its description in RNAcentral is "partial 16S ribosomal RNA". It matches the Rfam family "Bacterial small subunit ribosomal RNA", at positions 30 to 523 of the family's 1533-position model. The record is from RNAcentral.